This 500-nucleotide ribosomal RNA is filed under the name uncultured bacterium. RNAcentral's name for it is "partial 16S ribosomal RNA". It matches the Rfam family "Bacterial small subunit ribosomal RNA", at positions 30 to 523 of the family's 1533-position model. The record is from RNAcentral.
AUUGAACGCUGGCGGCAUGUCUUACACAUGCAAGUCGAACGGCAGCACGGGAGCAAUCCUGGUGGCGAGUGGCGAACGGGUGAGUAAUAUAUCGGAACGUGCCCAGUCGUGGGGGAUAACGCAGCGAAAGCUGUGCUAAUACCGCAUACGAUCUACGGAUGAAAGCGGGGGAUAGCAAGACCUCGCGCGAUUGGCGCGGCCGAUAUCAGAUGAGCUAGUUGGUGAGGUAAGGGCCCACCAAGGCGACGAUCUGGAGCUGGUCUGAGAGGACGACCAGCCACACUGGAACUGAGACACGGUCCAGACUCCUGCGGGAGGCAGCAGUGGGGAAUUUUGGACAAUGGGCGAAAGCCUGAUCCAGCAAUGCCGCGUGCAGGAUGAAGGCCUUCGGGUUGUAAACUGCUUUUGUACGGAACGAAACGGUGAGCUCUAAUACAGUUUGCUAAUGACGGUACCGUAAGAAUAAGCACCGGCUAACUACGUGCCAGCAGCCGCCGUAA